GGAAUCUGCCUGGUAGUGGGGGACAACGUUUCGAACGGAACGCUAAUACCGCAUACGUCCUACGGGAGAAAGCAGGGGACCUUCGGGCCUUGCGCUAUCAGAUGAGCCUAGGUCGGAUUAGCUAGUUGGUGGGGUAAAGGCCUACCAAGGCGACGAUCCGUAACUGGUCUGAGAGGAUGAUCAGUCACACUGGAACUGAGACACGGUCCAGACUCCUACGGGAGGCAGCAGUGGGGAAUAUUGGACAAUGGGCGAAAGCCUGAUCCAGCCAUGCCGCGUGUGUGAAGAAGGUCUUCGGAUUGUAAAGCACUUUAAGUUGGGAGGAAGGGCAGUAAGUUAAUACCUUGCUGUUUUGACGUUACCAACAGAAUAAGCACCGGCUAACUUCGUGCCAGCAGCCGCGGUAAUACGAAGGGUGCAAGCGUUAAUCGGAAUUACUGGGCGUAAAGCGCGCGUAGGUGGUUUGGUAAGAUGGAUGUGAAAUCCCCGGGCUCAACCUGGGAACUGCAUCCAUAACUGCCUGACUAGAGUACGGUAGAGGGUGGUGGAAUUUCCUGUGUAGCGGUGAAAUGCGUAGAUAUAGGAAGGAACACCAGUGGCGAAGGCGACCACCUGGACUGAUACUGACACU
RNAcentral lists this ribosomal RNA (631 nucleotides) under uncultured bacterium. RNAcentral's name for it is "bacterial SSU rRNA". It matches the Rfam family "Bacterial small subunit ribosomal RNA", at positions 121 to 747 of the family's 1533-position model. The record is from RNAcentral.